AAAAAGAAAAAAUCCCGGAGCACGGCGACGAGCCCCUGGCAGCGCUCCCCGCAGCGCCGGGUGGCCGCGGGGGGGUCCCGGGCGCUCCGCAGCCGCGGCUCGGGGGGCGCCCGGCCCCGCGCAAGCUCCGCGCCCUGCGGCCCCCCCCGUUCCCUCCAGCCCCCCCCCCGCCACUCCCCCCGACCCGGCGCUUCGCCCCGCUCUCCCCCGCCGUCGGGGCUGCCGCGAGGAGCGCGGGGAAGAAGUUUGCCAAAGUUUCGGGUUUUUUCUUUUUUUUUUUUCCUCUCCCCGCUCCUUGCGCCUCGCCGCGGGGGCGGCGGGCAGGGGAGCGGGGCGGGCGGCCGGCAGCUCGCCGGUUGCAGGUGUGUGAAGGCGCCCGUCGGGAGGCUCCGCAGGCUGCAGCGCCGCACGGAGCCCCCCUCGGCCCGCACCCCCGGACCCCCCCACGCCCCGUCCCCCCGCCCUCUCUGCCGGGUGGGCUCCGUAGAGCACCGCGGCGGUGCCCCCGGCGCGGCCCCGUCCCCCGUCCACCCCGUCCACCCCCCCCGUGCCCGUGGAGCGCCGCCGAAGGAGCGGGAGCGACUCACUCAUGGGAGCGCGGCGGGCGAGGCCGGCGACACCUCCGGCUUCCGAGGCGCCGGCGAAGUUAAUUGCACUGAAGUUCAAGUUGUCUUUUCACCCAUCAGGAGUGGGCGUUUAAAGGAAGGAGAGCGAGGAGGAGGAGGGGGAGGGGGAGGGGGGAGAGUCGCUCUCGCUCUCGCUCGCUCUCGCACACACACACACACGCACGCACACACACACGGAGGCACAGACACACAGCCACACGCACAGACACACGGACACACGCACACAGCCACACGCGCGCACCCGCCCGCUCGGCUCCGCUCCCGAGCUGCCUCAGCAAGGAGGAGCCCGGACGGAAACCACCAGGGCAGCAAGACCCUUCUUUCCCAUCUUCGCUGCUGCACGCUUUGGAUGUGGAGUUCCUGGAAAGUGAACCUGGCAAUGAGCGCAGGUUUCCCUGAAAGCCGAGGCUGCUUUUUAUUCCCUAGGAGACUGAGAAGAGAGGGGACCCUGGAUGUCAGCCCAUAUCCUUUUUUUUUUUUUUUUUAAUUUAUUUUGACUUCGAGGCGCAUUGCCUUUUCCAGCCCUGGGAACUGGCAGCUACGAUUCGUGUAGACACCUUUGCGUGUCUCAGAAACAAGACCGAGACCAUGGAGUUGAUAUGUCAAUGCUUUUCUCAGUUAACCUGUGCCGCACUCUUCUAUUAAUUGGUAUUAGAAAGUGCAACCUUGUAGCGCAGUUAUUGAAUAAUCAUUAAUCCGUGGAGGAUACACAAGCCCAAAGGUUAAUAAUAAGAACAACAAUUAAUAAUAUUGACCUUGCCAGCAGGGGGAAUAUUUUUUUUUCAGUUAUUAAGAGGCACUCCCAUUUGUACGAGGUACAGUGGGGUGAAUUUGGCCAUGGUGUGUUGAGUACCAAACUACUGCAGGAAGCCCAG
Molecule: long non-coding RNA, 1501 nt
Filed under: Anser brachyrhynchus (Pink-footed goose)
Lineage: Eukaryota; Metazoa; Chordata; Aves; Anseriformes; Anatidae
Description: lncRNA (ENSABRG00000006806.1)
Source: RNAcentral